Molecule: long non-coding RNA, 246 nt
Filed under: Elaeis guineensis (African oil palm)
Lineage: Eukaryota; Viridiplantae; Streptophyta; Magnoliopsida; Arecales; Arecaceae
Description: long non-coding RNA (EGUI_LNC063647)
Source: RNAcentral
GGCGCCCCACAUUAGGGUUUUGAUCAAGAGAGGGGGCGUGGCCCCCCCUCCUCUCUCUCCUCCAUGCCAAGCCAUAAGAAGGCACACCCCCUCUCUCUCUCCCCUCCACACCAAGCCAUAAGAGGGGUGGGCCCCUCUUGCAAAAUCUUAGGGAUUGGCACCCCUGGUCCUACUAAAAAUGAAGGAAGGCACCACCCAUUCUUUCUUUCUAUUCCACACACACAUUUAGAGAUAAUUAGGAGAUAG